UGGACAAAGCAUUGAUACCUAUGAAAAUGGAAAUUAUUUUUUGGCAAACUUUAUAGCAGCUCAGAACAUCCUGCAAAUCCAGACCAUACACAAUAAGUAUUUGAGUGACUCGAAUCCACUAAAAGUUGGGUAUAUUAGAAUCUGGGGUGUGAAUACCUAUGUGACACAAGUCAGUUUCACCUAUGACAACCGGCAAUUUAUGGAGACAAAUUUCAAGAGUGAACCUUAUAAUCAGAUACUAACUAUUCAAUUGACUGACAAGACUAUCAACCUGGAAAAGUUAACUGAGGUUACUUGGAUUGAUGGUGGUCCUGUACUUCCUACUCCAACUAAGACAAGUACCAUCCCAAUGAGUUCUCAUCCUUCUCCAUCUACUACCAAUGCCACCAGUUCUGAGACAAUCACCAGUUCUGCCAGUGCAAAUACUACCACUGGCACUACUGAUACUGUUCCUAUCACAACCACAUCUUUCCCAAGUACUACUAGUGUUACAACUAAUACUACUGUUCCUGAUACAACUUCUCCUUUCCCUACAAGUACUACUAAUGCUAGCACUAAUGCUACUGUUCCUAUCACAACCACACCUUUCCCAACAAGUACUAUUGGUGUUACAACUAAUGCUACUGUUCCCAAUACAACUGCCCCUUUCCCAACAAAUGCUAGUACUGCUAGCACUAAUGCUACUGUUCCUAUCACAACCACAUGUUUUGCAACAAGUACUAUUGGUGUUACAACUAAUGCUACUGUUCCCGAUACAACUGCCCCUUUCCCAACAAAUACUACUACUGCUAGCACUAAUGCUACUAUUCCUAUCACAACCACACCUUUUGCAACAAGUACUAUUAGUGUUACAACUAGUACUACUGUUCCUGAUACAACUGCUCCUUUCCCUACAAGUACUACUAGUGCUAGCACUAAUGCUACCCCUGUUCCUAUCACAACCACACUUUUUGCAACAAGUACUAUUGGUGUUACAACUGGUACUACUGUUCCUGAUACAACUGCUCCUUUCCCUACAAGUACUACUAGUACUAGCACUAGUGCUACUGUUCCUAUUACAACCACACCUUCCCCUACAAAUACUGCUGAUGCUAACACUAGUAAUACUGUUCCUAAUACCACUAUGCCUUCUCCUACAAGUAGUACUACUGUGAGUACUAUUGCUACCGUUCCCAUUUCAGUGACUCCUUCUCUGACAAGUACUGCUGAUGCCACCAUUAGUACUACUGUACUUAUUGCCACUACUUCUUCUCUAACAGGUACUACUGAUGUUAGCACUAGUACUACUAUUAAUAAUAUAAGUACUCCUGUUCAAACAAAUACUACUAAUGCUAGCACUAGUACUAAUGUUGCUAAUAUAACUGCUACCUCUCAUACAAGUACUGAUGAUACUGUUCCUAAUAAUACUGUUCCAGUUACAGCUAUUCCUUCUCUUGCAAAUACUGGUGUUGACACUACUAGCAACAGUUUUUCCAUUAUGACCACUUCUUUCUCUGAAAGUACUAAUGCUAUGAACACUACUGUUAUUAUGGCAACUACUUCUCCUACAAGUACUGAUGUUGCUAGCACAAAUAAUGAUGCUUCUAUGACAAAUUUUCUUUUAGCUACAAUGUCUGCUGGUAAUAUAACUAGUAAUAGUAUUUCCAUAACAACUACUUCUUUUGGUAAUAGUGUUCCUUUUGUGACUACUCCUUCUCCAAGUACUGAUGCUACUACUACAAGUAAUAAUACUAAUCCUGGCAUGACUACUUAUUACCAGACUUCUCCUACCAUUCCUACCCAUACUCUUACUUCUAUUCCUAGCUCUAUUACUUCUAUUUUGAGCAUGUUUCCAACAAGUAAUACAUUCACUACUGAUAAAAUUACUAAUUUUACUACCCCUACAAAUGCAAACACCAUUAUUUUCAACACUCUUGAUACAAAAAGUACCAUGGUAAUAGAUGCUACGGUCACUACUACCAGCACCAAAGAUAAUACCAUGAGUCCAGAUACAACAGUUACUUCCAUAGACAAAUUCACCACACACAUCACACAGUUCGCUACUCCCCAUUCUGCUACUACUACAACACUGGCCUUAAGCCACACCUCAUUAGCUCCUACAAAUCUUUCUAAUCUAGGCACCAUGGAUAUUACUGAUGCAGAUAACUCCAGCAGUGUUACAGGUAACACGACACACAUUUCUGUUUCAAAUCUCACAACAGCCUCAGUCACAAUAACAGCCACUGGUCUAGAUUCACAAACUCCCCAUAUGGUAAUAAAUUCUGUGGCUACUUAUUUACCUAUUACUGCAACUAGUGCUACCACAGAUACUACAAAUAUUACAAAAUAUGCUUUAAAUACUACCACUCCUGAUAGUACAGUACAUACCUCUGCUACUGCACCUACUUAUAUUGCAAAUGCCAUAAAUGCUACUCAAGUUCCAUGAUUACUACUCAAGGCAGGAUAGUUACCUCAGAUAACGCCUACAAACAACUAUUACAGAUAUAGAAAAUCAGUUACGAGACACUCUAUCUAUCUUAUGCUACUUAAGUUUUCACGGAUAUUAGUACUCUAGCCAUAAAAGACACAGCUACUCCAAACACUCUCGUCAUUGCAGACAUGUUUAGGAAGGUUUACAAACCUUAUAGGUUUCACCAAAGAAGCUGUGGGUACUUAUUUUGCAACCAUAGUAUGUGCUCUUAUUCUUUUAAAUUAUAGUUAUUACUCCUAUAACCUCAUCAGUUAAACUACAGAUGUUUUAUAUAUCCUAUAUAUCCUUGCUACAGAUUUCACAGGUAAUUUUGGUAUCUCAGAUAACACCACAUUAGGCUCUGUAAAUACUAUUGCCUUAGAUUUAGUUACUGAAAUAGCCCAACUUGUUUCUUGGGUCACAUGACGUACCAUAACUGAGAGUACUGGUGAUACCCCCAGCACUCAAAUGGUUUCUAUACCAACAGUUAUUGAUAUUACAGGAGAGUAUGUAAUUAGUAAUGCUAAAAAAAUGCACUUUAUUAUCCUAUGGACUUUUCCAAAUGCCAUAGCUACCAAUAGAGUCAUUUGCAUUACACAUACUAAUAGUAUUAUUUCUUCUGAGGAGAUCCUAGCUGUAGCUACAGAUAUAGAAAAUUCUACCAUUGAAGAUCUUGUAUAACCUUACUUCAGCCACUGAAAUAAUUUAAAUUAUAAAUAUUACAUGUGGGUUUGACUAUCACAGAAAAUAAAAUGAUUAUAGAUCCUAAAAACAUAAAUUCCUGAACUUUGCAACCAUUAAUUCAUAGGUACUACUAAUACUCUUACUACAGAUUUUAUAAGUACUUCCACUUAUAGACAGAAGAGCAUUCUCAGAAAAUUAGAAUUAAUCUAAAUUAUGAGAUAGUCUUAAAGCCUCACUGUUACCACCAAUGACUGGCUCUGACUCUAGUAUAAAUCAGAAAUUAUCCAGACAGAGGUGAGAAUGUAAAUAUACAGCAUGAGGAAGACAGCCUCCACAUUGGAAUCAGAGUUCAUAAUCUUAUUUGCAUUUUCUUCUAUUAAUACAAGCUUUUCCCUUAUAAUUUCACUGUUCAGACUCCCCUUCAUUGUGUUAGGGUUUUCAGUCUAUUCCUGGUUUUUCAUAUCCAAAUUCAUCAUCCAUCCUUGAUCCAUUGUUUUCUUAGAUCACUCAAACCCCCAUGAGUAGACCCAUGGUCAUUACCAAAUCUGGUCAUUUGGGUACUAUUGUAGGUUUAACCCUAGGGCAAUAUUCUCGAAGUUUAGUUCAGGGAUCCAUGGGGUUCCCCAAGACUUUCUGGAGCACACAGCUUCUUCAAAUCUACUUUCAUAAUGAUGCUAAGUUAUUUGUUUUUUCAGUCUCAUUGUCUCAUUAGUAUACAGUGGCACUGUCCAGAUGCUCUAUGCUGUAUUGUGUCAUAAAAGAUGAAUAUAGAAAAAGAAAAAAGAAUCUAGCUGUAUUCUAUUAAGCUAGACAUUAAACAGAUUUACAAAAUGUAAAAUAAUGUCAUUCUUCUAAUUUUUUUUUGCUUUGGGAAAUACAGUUAUUUUUCAUUAAAAACAUAUUUAUG
RNAcentral lists this long non-coding RNA (4040 nucleotides) under Homo sapiens (human). RNAcentral describes it as "long non-coding RNA NONHSAT123764.2". Lineage: Eukaryota; Metazoa; Chordata; Mammalia; Primates; Hominidae. The record is from RNAcentral.